UUUAAACGUCCAAACUGUUAUUUAUUUUUAUAUUAUAUAGAAAAUUAUACGAACGAGCUUAACGUCGUUAAGGCUCUUCGGAUUGUUGUUGUGAACAUGUUGAGAGGGUUUUCCACAAAAAACGUUUUUAAAUAGUUGUGUUGCACAUAUUUUGCAUCAAAUAUCAUCAAUAUAUAGACACCCAUUUGAAAAAUUAUUUAAACAAAGUUUUUAAGGUGUAGCUUUUGCUACGUCAAGCAAUAUGAAACUGCCAUAUGUCACUCCAAAUGUGCAGAAACACAAAUUUUAUUUGUAGAUCUACAUAUACGAUGGCAUUUAGUGCAUUUAACUGCCAAAGACUACUAAUGGGCGGAAGAAAAUCAAAGGAAAACCUACUCAAUGAACAACUAAAUGGCAUAAUAAAUGGCGGAGCAGGGAACAGUUUUUGCAGGCUGUAGGGUACGAAGAGACGACCGCCCCAUUAAACCACAAAAUUUAUUACUGCGCCUAAAUCACAGCAAACAACUUCAUCAACAACAGCAGGAAAGUGGCAAGCAGAUGGAGAACGAUGCAUAUGCACAUACAUAUGUACAUAAGUGCUGCCAAUUGAGGAGACACUUACACACAUAUACAUAAAUGUGCUUUGAAUGAGCGCAUUCCUAGUGAUUAAACGAUGAAGUGCAACGGUGGCCAAGCGGCGGUGUAUGUUGGUAGCUGAUCGGGCGUUUGUGCAGUCCAUUAAUUUUCAAGUGCAACACUUUAUUGGCGUAUGGCGCAACUUUAUGUGUGUUGCUGUCGACAGUAAUGAUGAUGAUGACGUUGUCACAUGUGUCACCAAGAGCCAGCGAAGCGAAUAGCCGUACCGCCGAGCCAGCAACGAACUACAAGUUGUAGUUCAACGCGUAGCCAAACGAAUGAACAAACCAAGCGAUCGAGCAACCGAACGGGCGAUUGCAAGCAUCCACGCCGAUCAUUUCGACACUUGAGAUCACAUUAGGGAAAUUUUUGGCAUGUAAAAUGUGACAGCUAAAUAUGCCACUUAUGUAGGCGCAUAUGUAUGUUGAGACACUGCGGCGCUCUGUACAUUAACAUAAAUAAUUGCUGAGUCGCGACAGCAUUGGAAUAUAGAUGCAGAUAAUGUUAAUAAAUAGAGAAGGCGCAAAUGUUUUAUUAACAUUCUCUGAUAGAUGUCUACCGUAGCAGCGGACCCUUUAAAAAGAAUAUCAGAACAUAAUCUGCUGCCAUUAAGAGAACGUGAAUGGAGUUUCAUUGUUUCGCGCUUCGCCGCUGUUAACGAUGCACUUAUUCAAUUAGGAAAAUCAAAGAAAAUUUGCAUGCCUAGCGGUGAACACACAAGACGUCAACUGAAACCCAUCGUGAGAAGCACCGUUCAAAGCGCACGAGAGCUAAUUAAAUUUCGAAAUUUUAUUUAGGGAAUUAUUUCACGAUAAAACACCCAAAAGCAUCGGGUAUGUGCUAUACAAAAAAAACAACAAUUAAGGAAAGAAGACCCGAAGAGUUGAAAGCGAACAACGAAAAAAUGCCAAAUAAAUGGAGACACUUAGUUUGCGGUCGACAGUCAAAAACGUGGCUAAACAAUAAAUGGCGCUAAAAGGUGAUUUGCACGCCUUAUUUAGUCGAAUGAUUUUCUGCGACAAAAUGUAGCGGAAUGUCGCAGGACGCGCAAUACUAGCGGUGGUGAGUGGCAGCACGCGGUGGAGACAACGCACAGGGGGAAUGUGUUGCAACCAGUUUAAACGGAAGCCAUGCCUGUCGCGCACGCGGACGCAAGAAAUUUCAUACUAAUUGGCAUAAAUACCAAGUGACGCACAGUAGCCGAACAGCAAGCAACCAACAACAACAACAGCAACAAUAAUAGUAUUAAGAAGCAAAAGGCGCGGUCGUCAACGAACAACGAGAGACAAGUCAAACAAAGCCAAUAAACAGACAAACAAAAGAAUCAGCAAUAAGAUACAAUAACAAAUGUUGUUGGCGUAAUGGCAAUAGCACCACCAAGGGAAUAGUUUAUGGCGAACAACCACAAGAAAGAAAAAUAAAAAUAAAAAUAAAAUAAUCUGCCGAGGAGCCAGCAGCAGUCAGCGAAAGAAAAGACGAUGAGAUCUUCACCUUGGCAAUCAUUAAUCGUUUUGCCUCGACAUAAUAUUGAUGAGGGCCUAUUGCCUGCUUUGCUUUUGUUGUUUUUGCUCACUUUUUAGCAGCAGCAGCACCUAACGCAUACACGGACUUCCGCGUCACCACCUUCAGCACCGCUUGCCGCUGGACAAAUGCAAGUUUUUGUACGUUGGCCGACUGCGCUGCUCGUCGGCGGAACUUGUUGAUGGAAUGUUCAUCGGACCAAUUGAAAUUGCUGUGACAACAAUAAAAAUGCAACUUUUUUUUUACUAUCAACGGUCGCCCAUCAACUCAGUGGCGAUUGACGAUGAUCGGUUGAUCUAUUGGCCGCUACACAGCACCCCUCGACACUCACUUUGUGGUCACUGGACGUUGGCCGCGCAUGGACAACAAUUAAGUUAAAGCUGAUCAAACGAUUUGUAGCUGUAAAUUCAACGCCAACAUAUGCGCGCACACGCGUUGACUUUCAGCGUUGAUGUAUGCAACCCGCUAACCGCUAGCAUCUAACCGCUAGUCACCAAACGGCUGGCAUCAUCUGUUGCAAUCACUUUUUCUUCAUACAAAUUUCGUUGGGAAUGCGUUGCGUUGCGUUGCUGUUGAUAUUGCUGUUAUUGCUGUUGCUGCUAACUUAUUUGUUGGCUUGUUUGCUGCCAUAUUAUAUUUGGUUGUAAAGGCUUUUUUGCUCUUAUCAGCGCUGACAGUUUUUAUAUCAGUUCUCCCAUGCUACUAUAUUACUAUUAUUCUUGUUGUUGUUAUUGCUGCUGUUGUCGCAAAUGCUCUUGUAAAUAGCUGCAGUCGUCAUCAUCAGCGUCGACAUCUUAGAUGUUUUUGUUGUUGCAGCAUUGUCGCGCAAUAAUCCAAUUAAUCGAACAAUUCACUUUGUACCAAAUACAUGCAGACAUAAGUACAUACUCGUACAUAGGCAGUGGGUAUACUUAGUAUAUGGCUAGGGGCAUGUGUGCAAAAUAUAGAAAUAAAUGACGUAAAUGGGUGCCACGGGAAGGUACAUGGGUUAGAAGCCGUAAACGAGUCGUAUGUGGACAAUGAUGAAUCAAUAAUUUACUUGUAGCGACAAAU
Molecule: long non-coding RNA, 3189 nt
Organism: Bactrocera oleae (olive fruit fly)
Lineage: Eukaryota; Metazoa; Arthropoda; Insecta; Diptera; Tephritidae
Source: RefSeq, a predicted model, not a curated record